Molecule: non-coding RNA, 242 nt
Filed under: Jeotgalibaca dankookensis
Lineage: Bacteria; Bacillati; Bacillota; Bacilli; Lactobacillales; Carnobacteriaceae
Description: T-box sequence
Rfam family: T-box leader
About the family: Uncharged tRNA acts as the effector for transcription antitermination of genes in the T-box leader family. T-boxes are found upstream of many aminoacyl-tRNA synthetase genes and some amino acid biosynthetic genes usually in Gram-positive bacteria. The anticodon of a specific tRNA base pairs to a specifier sequence within the T-box motif, and the NCCA acceptor tail of the tRNA base pairs to a conserved bulge in the T-box antiterminator hairpin.
Source: RNAcentral
AUAAACGCAUAGAAGAGGAAAGUACCAUUGUUUCUAUCUCACAGAGAGCUUGAACAGGUGAAAACAAGCAGAUAGAGCAAGGGGAAAAUGGCCUCAGAGUGGCAAAGACGAGCACGUUUGCAAGUCUUUGAUGGGUACGCCCAUUACAGCGUAGGAGUGGGAUAACCACUUCAUGAGAGAUUUUCCAUGAGGAUAAUCUAAACAAAGGUGGUAACACGAAGGCUUCUGCACUCGUCCUUGAA